This is a long non-coding RNA of Gossypium arboreum, 593 nucleotides long. RefSeq lists it as uncharacterized. The record is from RefSeq and is a predicted model, not a curated record. Lineage: Eukaryota; Viridiplantae; Streptophyta; Magnoliopsida; Malvales; Malvaceae. The transcript has 2 exons.
AUAAACAAUAGUCAAUUUAAGAUAAGCAGGAAUAGAGAGAGAAAUCAUGUCAGGAAUCAAUAAGAUAGGUACUAAAAGCUGACCGACAAUAUAAUUGAUGUCGGGCAGCGUGGGGAACAAUAAUUGGGACUUUGCUUGCUCGUUGUUGGUUGAUUAUUAAUGAAAUAUUCAAAUAGACAGUGGAUAGUUGGUUGAGGCUGGUUUCGGAAAACAGGCAUGGGCUUGUCUUGUUCGAGCUACCUGACUUUGACCGAGUCUUAACCUGUCCUUGCCUCUUUGGGGUGGCACAGGUAGAGUCAAGACUCAAGGGAGACUGCGAUUGCGACACUGCAGACAGAGGGUCAAGAAGGGCUGUCCUUCCAUAGUUGACCGCUGAAUCAGACAUGUGGCGAGUAAAGAAUGGUGGUUACUGUUAAUAGCCAAACACGCGUGCGGCACCAGCGUCUCUAGCAGCAGUCAGCCGAGCAUGGAAUAGUGAGUCCACCGACUUGUUCCCCAGAGUUUUUUUACAAAUAUCAAUGAAAUAAAUAAUCUUAUUAAUAUAUUUCAAUACUUUAUUUAUAAAGAAAUAAAUAGUCCCAUUAUGAAUAAAA